UACAGAGGUCCCAAGCGUUGUUCGGAUUCAUUGGGCGUAAAGGGUGCGUAGGCGGCGCGGUAAGUCGGGUGUGAAAUCUCGGGGCUUAACUCCGAAACUGCAUUCGAUACUGCCGUGCUUGAGGACUGGAGAGGAGACUGGAAUUUACGGUGUAGCGGUGAAAUGCGUAGAUAUCGUAAGGAAGACCAGUGGCGAAGGCGGGUCUCUGGACAGUUCCUGACGCUGAGGCGCGAAAGCGUGGGGAGCGAUCCGG
This 253-nucleotide ribosomal RNA is filed under the name uncultured bacterium. RNAcentral's name for it is "partial 16S ribosomal RNA". It matches the Rfam family "Bacterial small subunit ribosomal RNA", at positions 524 to 776 of the family's 1533-position model. The record is from RNAcentral.